Felis catus (domestic cat) is the source of this 128-nucleotide non-coding RNA. The record is from Rfam. NCBI's taxonomy places the organism in Eukaryota, Metazoa, Chordata, Mammalia, Carnivora, Felidae.
GUCUAGGGUCAUACUACCUUGACGGCAUCUGAGCUCCUCUGAUCUCCAGAAGCUAAGCAGAGUCGGGCCUGGUUAGUACUUGGAUGGGAGACCCUCCAUUGCUUAAAAAUCUGUCUAAUCCCUAUUCC